GGAUGUGAAGAUGAGCUGGCUGUGACAUCUGUCACCUUAUUGAUCACUAGGGUUGAUUUGGCUGGUCUGGGUAGCUAGGCAGGAGUUCCCUUCCUCACUUACCACUCUCUCCUGAAACCGAGUGCUGUGUUCAAGAGGACGACCUUCUGGGAAAGAGGAGAGCAUUCUUCUGUCAACGGCAUAGGAGUAGCUGUGCUUUCUUGGUAGAAAUUCCCAAGAAACACUCAAGGACUAUUUGUAAGAGAUCAUAGGGUAGUCAAGCUCCCAAGACUCCAGACACAUUCAAAUGAGGUGCUUCCUGUGGCAGACUGCCUUUCUAA
Neogale vison (American mink) is the source of this 320-nucleotide unclassified non-coding RNA. Its record names the gene 7SK. It matches the Rfam family "7SK RNA". Rfam says of the family: 7SK was discovered as an abundant small nuclear RNA in the mid-70s but a possible function has only recently been suggested. Two independent studies have found that 7SK RNA binds the CDK9/cyclin T complex (known as elongation factor P-TEFb). NCBI's taxonomy places the organism in Eukaryota, Metazoa, Chordata, Mammalia, Carnivora, Mustelidae. The record is from Ensembl.